AUCAUGGCAAAGUCCUCCACCUGCUUCUGCUCCAGGUGUUUCUUCUGCAAUACCAGACGGAAUAUUCUGGCACAGCGAGACCCGAAUCUGGGAAGGAACAAAGAAACACAUGGGCUGCUGGUCUGGCCCAGAGCCUUGUACAUUGUGAGUGAGGCGCUACCGAAUGAUGGCAGUCCCGGGCUGUUUUGAUUUUCAUUAAUGUAACUCACUGAAAGUUCACAGAAAAUUAAUAGAAAGUUAUUUCAACUUUU
Non-coding RNA from Cricetulus griseus (Chinese hamster), 251 nucleotides. NCBI's taxonomy places the organism in Eukaryota, Metazoa, Chordata, Mammalia, Rodentia, Cricetidae. The record is from RefSeq and is a predicted model, not a curated record.